Callithrix jacchus (white-tufted-ear marmoset) is the source of this 3420-nucleotide non-coding RNA. The record is from RefSeq and is a predicted model, not a curated record. Lineage: Eukaryota; Metazoa; Chordata; Mammalia; Primates; Cebidae.
GCUCCCGCAAUCCCGGGGCCGCCUCGGUCGCGCGAACUACACUUCCCAGAGGCCCCCGCGCGCGCGCCCCCGCAGAGGCGGCUUUCGAAGGCGCGUUAGGGACCCUUGCGAAGGCCGAGCUAGGCGGCCGGUGAGGCUGGAGUGUGCGUGUGUCCAUGUAUUCCACCAACAGUCACUGUGCGCCUCCUGUGUGCAAUGGGCUUGUUGCUAGCCCAGGAAGUGGGAAAGACCCUGCUUUCGGGGAGCGAGCGUACAACCCUUUGGACGAGGCUGACUAUAAAAACGCAAACAUAUCCACAAGAUAAUGGUCCUGACUUCGGCUGUAGGAGUGACACAGCAAGGGAGUGAGGCGGCAUCAGAGGGCGGGGCACUUGCAUCUUCAUCAAAAGCCCUGUUUCCAGGUCUGUUGUUGUGUGAUCUCCAACCGCCUUUCCCUCUCUGGGUUGCUAUUUCAUCUGUACAGUGCAGGAGCUGUUUUGGCUGAUACGAAACACCGUUUUAAUUUUUUUCUACCACAACUGCUAAGCCCGGUUCAACCAGUGAAGGUGUGACCUCCGCAAAGUUCCUGGAUGUGCUCUGGACUUACCUGCCUUCCUGGUGAGCUUAUUCAUCCUUCAAGACCCAGCUAGAAGACCAAGCAUGGUUGCUCACGCCUAUAAUCCCAGCACUUUGGGAAGCUGAGGUUUCUGGGUAGCCAGCCUCCUACUGUGAACAAGGGUGGGUACCUAAAAUAUUUUUAAGUACCCUUAAAAGACCUCUAAGCAACCAUAACAAAGGUCAACAAAUGAAAGGCAAGUAUGAAUAAACAGGAACAAGAGUCUGAAGAUUGCAGUGGACUGUCUACUGGUGCAGUGCAUCACCCACAGUACCCACUGGGACAGUCUUGAGCCGGCCACCUUAGUGCCUUCCCUUCUCGGCCUUGCUGAUAGACCCUGAGGGAACCAGGACCCAAGGCAGCCAAUCUAGAGAUGUAUCAUGUGCCUUGGCAGAAAAAUAGAUGGGCUGGCUUAGGAACAUGAAAGAGGAACUCCCGCAAUUAGGAGACAAGCAGCUGGUGCAGGAAUUGAAAGAAGAGAGCUCAGAGAGUGACCACGUGAUUCUGGGAGCGUGCUUGAGUAACCAGCCGGCCUCCAGAGUGAGCCUCACUCUCUACUGCCUCUAGUCCAGGCUCUGGGCCAGUUUGUUGCACUCAUCUUGAAAACAAGCUCAGCCCUUCUUUUUUUAAAAAAAUGUUUUUGAGACAGGGUCUUGCUCUGUCACUCAGGCUGGAGUGCAGUGGUGCUAACACAGCUCACUGCAGCCUCAACUUCCUGGGUUCAAGCGAUCCUCCCACCUCAGCUUCCCAAGUAGCUGGGACCACAGGCACAUACCAACAUGUACAGCUGAUUUUUAUUUGCUUAUUUGAAAUUUUAUUUUAUGUUUUUUCUGAGAUAGGAUCACACUCUGUCACCCAGGCUGGAGUGUAGUGGCGCCAUCUCUGCUCACUGCAACCUCUGCCUGACAGAAUCAAGCAAUUAUCGUGCCUCCUGGGUGAGUAACUGGGACUUCAGCUGCUCAUGACCGAGCCUGGCUAAUGUCUGUAUUUGUAGUAGAGAUGAAGUUUUGCCAAAUUGGCCAAGCUAAUCUCAACUCUUGGUCUCAAGUAAUCCUCCCACCUCGGCCUCCCAAAGUGCUGGGAUUACAGGUGUGAGCCACCACUCCCAGCCUGUAGCCCUUCUUAAGGUGGCCUAAGCAGGACUCAAAAGAGCCCAGCUGAACCCGGGAGAACCCGGGAAUCAACAGAAGAUUUUCAGCAGGAACUACAGAGCAGUUCACCACCAUAUGAAACACAAGUGGCUUUUAGCAAGUGAGUUGUAUAAUCCACAAGGGAAAUGACGAGGCCAGACCAGUGGGGCAGAAAAUGGCCCUUUGGCCAAAGCAAGGAGAAGGGUGGCAGGCACUGGGGGAGGAUGGGGCUCACCUCCCUGGGGUGACCUCCCGCUAACCUCACCUCUACGCUUCUGUCUCUGGAGGAACGGAUGCUACAGCCUGGCCCUCAUACCCCAGGCCAACAGACAAGGGGGCUCACAGAAGGGAAGCUUGCUUCAAACUCCAAGUACCUCCAAGGUCUGGUAAGACAGCACGACCCUGGACCUUGGAAGGGAGCACAGAUGGAAACACACCCAGGCUCAGGCUUGGCCCAUCAAUAGGUGCAGAAUCCUCCAUCUUGGGUUCCCUCCGUUUAUUGAAUGAAUUGUUUCCAUUUACACUUUGGUUUUUAGCCAGAGUACGUUUUUCAUUAUGUUAAGAAUUGGUCUCAUGUAGUGAGUAAGGUCAUAGAACUUGGUGUCAGGCUGUUGGUUGGGCUUCUGGCCCUGCUACUUACUGUGUGGCCUUGACCUAAUCACUUAGCCUCUCUGUGCCUCAGUUCACUCAGCUGUAGAAUAGGAAUAAUCUGCCCCUCUCUAGUAGCAUUGUUUAUGAGAUUAAAGGAACUGUCUGUCCUGAGCCAGGGCUUGCAACAGAUCCUGUCUAUGUCAAUAUGAGCUUGACGUUUUAUUAAACACUUUCGUUUCUUUUUCUUUUUACUUUUCCUUUUUUUUUUGAGACAGUUUUGCUCUUGUCACCCAGGCCAGAGUGCAAUGGCGACAUCUCAGCUCACUGCAACCUCUGCCUCUUGGGUUCAAGCGAUUUUCCUGCCUCAGCCUCCCGAGUAGCUGGGAUUACAGGCGCCCGCCACCAUGCCCAGCUAAUUUUUGUAUUUUUAGUACAGACGGGCUUUCACCAUGAUUCCAGGCUGGUCUCAAACUCCUGACCUCAGGUGAUCCGCCCACCUCGGCCUCCCAAAGUGCUGGGAUUACAGGAGUGAGCCACCGCCCCUGGCCCUGGUGUUUCAUUUCAAAUGCUUCUGUCCCUCCCCUUUGACGGUUUUUUUGGGAGGUGUGUUUUUCAGUUGACCAGCUGGAGUUCUUAGUAACACCAGCGCCCUCCUCGGUCUGCGCUGCGCGGCCGAGGCCCGUACAACCUCCAGGGGGCGCCCGGGGCCCGCGCUCCCUCGACGCGGCGGCCCGUGGCGUCCGGGCGGGAGAACUUCGAAUCUGAGUGGUCCACCUGGAUUCAUCUUCUUGGUUCCCGAGCCUCCUCCCUCUCCCCUACCAAAGGACAGUGAACUGGAGCGGCGCUCGGCACCGGCGGCUGGACACGUGGCGCAGCCUUCGUGACAGGUCUUUUUUCGUCCCACGUUUGUAUGGGACCUUGGGCUUCCAAACCGACGUUGGGUGAUUUAUCAGCAGAUACUUUCACCGCCCACCGCAAACCUGCAGUGCCAAGUGGGCCGCUUUCCGGAGGGUCUCGGAGGACACCGCCUGCCAGCUGCCAGCAUCUGGGGGGAGAGGGAUGGGUGUUUGGGGUGGGAAAUGAAGUUCUGGUUUUGAACGUUGA